RNAcentral lists this long non-coding RNA (784 nucleotides) under Rattus norvegicus (Norway rat). RNAcentral's name for it is "long non-coding RNA NONRATT011571". The record is from RNAcentral. Lineage: Eukaryota; Metazoa; Chordata; Mammalia; Rodentia; Muridae.
GGGAAUAGCAGAGUUUGCUACCGUUCACAGCUUUUAGUUUUUUUGAGGGUGGGGGUGGGUACUAAUCCAGGAUCCUUCAAGACUGAAUAUAAAGCAGUGGCCUUAGGUAAGGAACAUGAACCCACACCAACCCCACCCCUGGGUUCUUCUACCUACUUUGGUGGCUGCUAAAUUGACUUUUACCUUCCUCCAAAGGAAGGCUCACCUAGUGGAGGCUUUUUUUGUUUUGUUUUGUUUGGUGACAUUUGGUUGGUUGAGGUUUGGGGGUUUUUUGAGGGGUUUUGUUGGUGAUGGUUUGGUUUUUUGAGACAGAGUUUCUGUGUAUCACAGCCCUGACUGUUCUGGAACUCACUCUGUACCAGGCUGGCCUCAAUCUCAGAGGUCCACCUGCCUCUGCCUCCCAGAUUAAAGGUGUGUGCGGCCACUGCCUGGCUUCAGCUGGUGAUUUUUAAUUACAGAAUUACUAUUCUCUGCUGUGUUUCCUUUAGGAAUUUUGAAUUUGGGAUUAGGUGUAUAGUUAAUACUGUGUUUGCCUUCUAUGUGUAAGGCACUAGGUUUGAUCACACAGCCCCAGGACUGUAAACUGAGCAGUGUGAUGAUCCCACCUGGAAUCCCAGCCAGCAUUUAGGAGGUGGAAUCAAGUGACCACUGCAUCUUCAGCAACAUAGGGAGGUUUAAGUCAGACUGGGAUCCACAAGACCUUAUCACAAAACAAAACAAAAACCAACAACAAUAACAAAACCCUAAGAUUCCUAACAAUAAAUAAAAUUAUACCACCUUUCAA